CAUCAAAGUUGGUUUCCUCCGGAUUCCCUCCUUUCACAGAUGCAAAGCUUUAACUAUAACAUGUGAUUCCCUCAGGGUUGGUUUUGGUCUGGUGGAACUGUGUCUGACUAUUGACCGCUGUAAAUGAUCAAAGGGUUUUCUAUCCCUGUCCAGGUGGUGUGUGUCCCUCCGAGCGGGGUCUGGUGUGGCGCUUCUUGUUUGGGAUGUACCCGUGCAGCUCGACAGCUUUAGAGCGCUCUCUGCUGCGGGAGCAGAUGUCGGUGCGUUUCCGGGUCAUGAAGAGAAAGUGGCAGCAGUUCCUUCCUUUGGCCGUGCGCAUGCACCUCAACGGCACCGACGGUGAAAGCUCAAACAUGCACCGCAAUGCAGAGUCGUACGGCUCUCAAGCGCGUCAACCUUUCAUUCAUACUCAUUCUCUUUCCCUGCACUACUGUUUCUUUGUUAAAACAUAUCCGACCCCUUGAUCCCCGUCUUCAUUUCAGAUGAGUUGGUGGCAGCCGUCAGGUACUUUGACCAAAGGCAGGAACUGGCCCAGCAACAGACCCAGGACCAGUCUGAUGAGGUCAGGGACCGACUGGCUUUCUUGGAGCUUCAGGCACAGAUAUUGUUUGAGCGAGUCACGUUUGACCAAGUGGAGCUGCGUGAAGCCACACGGAUCAUCGACAAAGACGUGGCGAGGACUAACCGAGACCUGAGCUAUUAUCAGAGUGAAGGUUCAGCCAACCUGUUGGUUUUGAGAGAUAUCCUCAUCACUUAUGCUGCUUUCCAUCCAGGUAAUCCGGCAAGAAUGAGCAGGUCUAUUAACACUGACAAGAUCAGGCAGCAUUAGAGGCUGUGUGUGGCCCCGUCAAAGACACUAACUGUUGGUUGUUUGUCACUUCUCGCGAUCGUUGAUGCAGAGGUCAGUUAUGCCCAAGGAAUGAAUGAUCUGUGCAGCCGGUUCCUGGAGGUUCUCAACUCUGAGGUUGACGCUUACUGGAGUUUCUCCUGCUACAUGGAGAAGUUCUCCAAGGACUUCAGGGCUGAUGGUCUGCACAGGAAAAUAGAGUUGGAGGCCGCCCUGUUGAAGGAACUGGACCCUCAUCUUUAUGCUCAUUUGGUCACAGACCGCAUGGAGAGCUUCACCUUCUGCCACAGGUGGCUGCUGCUGGGUUUCCAGAGGGAGUUUGAACACAGUGACGCAUUACGUUUGUUCGAGAUCCUGAGUUGUGACCACCUGGAGCUUAUCUCCCAGCAAGUAGACCGAGCACGUUAUCAGGAAAGGCUCGCACGGAAAUGCAGCACAGAGGACAAUUCCGAGUCAGAGCUGCAGGCCAUCAACACUGACUUCACCUUUGAGCUUUUCAUCUGUGCAGCCAUCCUGUUAGAAAACAGAGAGUCUUUGCUGCGUUGCCGUGAUGAAGUCCAACUUAUCCAGUUUACUAGCAGCCUCCAGGGAACACUGGAACUGAACAGCACGCUAAAGAAAGCAGAGCACCAUUUGUACAACUACUGCAAGCGCUGUGCUUGGGACUAUAUGGAUGGGUGUUGUAAAACGGACAAGAGCAAAGAAGAGAACUUUCUCUAUCAACUCCGUAGUUUACUUGUUUUAAAGUAAAAGCUGCUAUUUAAAUAGCUGUUGUCAAAGUCUCGGAUGAAACUGUAAUUUGUAACCAGGGACACAUAAUCCCUAUUUAGAGUUUUGAUGGCACAUUUAUUAUUUUUUAUUUCCGAGGGAAACGCACUGAUGGCUGCUUACCUUAUUGGAUCCGUUACUGCUGUUUAUUAUAAAUGUACAGUAUUUAUUGUAUGCCAGUUGACCUGCACCAACUGUGAGUUAUUUUGGUUGCUCUCCUUAACUGCCCUGAUAAUAAAAAAAACUGUAAGCUCAAUAUCAUAGUAGGAGAAAGGAAUCACACUUCAUGAUUUGUAUUCCGGAUUAUGCAAUAUUCAACGGAUUAUGCAAUAUAAACAACUACUAACAGGCAUGUGUGAGUGCUAAGAUCUGAUGUGUCGCAACAGGUGGUGUUUGUAACAAACCGCAGUUAUAUUUAAUGCCAGAUGGUCUCUGUGUCAGAGAGGCCUAUAGACGUCCAGUUUUUGAGCUCUGGCAGAGGGACCAUGUCGUAAGGGGAAGGGAAAUUACUUUUAAACUGAGAAUGAAACAUGUAAACUAUAUAUGUAACCAAAAAUGUGUACCUCAAUAAAACUGCUGGCGAUUGUUUAUGAUAU
This is a long non-coding RNA of Cyclopterus lumpus (lumpfish), 2211 nucleotides long. The record is from Ensembl. NCBI's taxonomy places the organism in Eukaryota, Metazoa, Chordata, Actinopteri, Perciformes, Cyclopteridae.